This 437-nucleotide ribosomal RNA is filed under the name uncultured bacterium. RNAcentral describes it as "bacterial SSU rRNA". It matches the Rfam family "Bacterial small subunit ribosomal RNA", at positions 28 to 485 of the family's 1533-position model. The record is from RNAcentral.
GAUGAACGCUGGCGGCGCGCCUAACACAUGCAAGUCGAACGGCACCCCUCUCCGGAGGGAAGCGAGUGGCGAACGGCUGAGUAACACGUGGAGAACCUGCCCCCUCCCCCGGGAUAGCCGCCCGAAAGGACGGGUAAUACCGGAUACCCCGGGGUGCCGCAUGGCACCCCGGCUAAAGCCCCGACGGGAGGGGAUGGCUCCGCGGCCCAUCAGGUAGACGGCGGGGUGACGGCCCACCGUGCCGACAACGGGUAGCCGGGUUGAGAGACCGACCGGCCAGAUUGGGACUGAGACACGGCCCAGACUCCUACGGGAGGCAGCAGUGGGGAAUCUUGCGCAAUGGGGGGAACCCUGACGCAGCGACGCCGCGUGCGGGACGGAGGCCUUCGGGUCGUAAACCGCUUUCAGCAGGGAAGAGUCAAGACUGUACCUGCAGA